This 304-nucleotide long non-coding RNA is filed under the name Theropithecus gelada (gelada). RNAcentral describes it as "lncRNA (ENSTGEG00000000264.1)". The record is from RNAcentral. Lineage: Eukaryota; Metazoa; Chordata; Mammalia; Primates; Cercopithecidae.
UUGGUUUUUGUCACAAUCUGAUUCAUUUCUGUCCCUUAAACAGGCUUGUUUCUCGCGUUGGAGACAUCAGGCUUACUAAAGACGCAGGAGUUGACGACCAGCCCUGGCCAACACGGUGAAACUCGGUCUCUACUAAAAAUACAAAAAUUAGUCAGGCAUGUUCCUGCACAGUGUGCUGCUUCACGAAAUGGACCUUCAUCCCAGAAUAAUCACUGAAGGAUUUGAAGUUGUGAAGGAAAAGGCCCUUCAGUUUUUGGAAGAAGUCAAAGCUGUAAUGGGCUCCAUUUUGGCCAUUAAAAGAAAA